This 72-nucleotide transfer RNA is filed under the name Hypentelium nigricans (northern hog sucker). RNAcentral's name for it is "tRNA-Ile". It matches the Rfam family "tRNA". Rfam says of the family: Transfer RNA (tRNA) molecules are approximately 80 nucleotides in length. Their secondary structure includes four short double-helical elements and three loops (D, anti-codon, and T loops). Further hydrogen bonds mediate the characteristic L-shaped molecular structure. tRNAs have two regions of fundamental functional importance: the anti-codon, which is responsible for specific mRNA codon recognition, and the 3' end, to which the tRNAs corresponding amino acid is attached (by aminoacyl-tRNA synthetases). tRNAs cope with the degeneracy of the genetic code in two manners: having more than one tRNA (with a specific anti-codon) for a particular amino acid; and 'wobble' base-pairing, i.e. permitting non-standard base-pairing at the 3rd anti-codon position. Lineage: Eukaryota; Metazoa; Chordata; Actinopteri; Cypriniformes; Catostomidae. RNAcentral also lists the same sequence under 1 other name. The record is from RNAcentral.
GGAACCGUGCCUGAAUACCCAAGGGCCACUUUGAUAGAGUGGAUUAUGGGGGUUAAAAUCCCCCCGAUUCCU